CUGAGAAAGGUUGUUUUUGAAUAAAUUCUAUGUAUUCGGGGUCUAUCUCAAAACUAGAUGUUAUGAUAGGCUUUGAAGAUUUUGGUGGUUCUAGAUGUGUGCCCAUAGGUCUAUGAAAUUCAUAGAUAGACAUGUUUGAAUUCAUAAUAGACCAGAGAUCAAGGAUUAGAUAAGAAGAAAGAAUAGCAGAGAUGAGGCAAAGGAUAAAAGGAAAAUAUUUUUUUUAUUUAUUUAUUUUUUAUAAAAUGAUUAAACUAGUUCGUAGUCAACUCAGCAACCGUUUCCCCGGCAACGGCGCCAAAAAUGCUUGUUGACACUUGCUAACACCACUUGAAUACUAGGUUAUCAUCCCCAGCGUGGCACUAGAGUGUACUAUGGUAUUUAUACGCACACAGAUAAUCCGCAAGCGCACGGAUACCGUUGAAGCUUUUACCCGGUUAAAGGUUUUAUCGUAUCCACAGGGAAACGGGAGAACUGAUCUACGCUCUAACUUAACUAAGAUAAGUAAAUAGGUGUGAAUAGGAAAGAUGGUAGAAUCGAAUAAGAACAAUAUUAAAGGUAAGAUAACAGUGAGUGAUAAUAUGGGAAUAGAGAGUAGAGCAAUUAUAGUAUAUGGGUGAUGGUAGCAGAAUAGAGAGGAUAACUAUGGUUUCUCUACUUCAAAGGGGUAUGUCUAUGUCUGGGACGAACCACGUGAUAAGAGUACACCACAAAGGAUGCAUAUCCAUAGGCCGAUAAACCCUACCCGUCCUGCUAACGAGAGGUGGACUACAGGGGACCAACGUAACUGUCACCUACGUGGCCUACCACACGAUCUAGCUAGUCAGGGGAUAUCCACAAGUAAUCUAGGUCUAAGCACCACGCUUACACCUAUACUACAACUCUAACCUAUAGGGUCCUAUAGAUUAGAAGUACUCAAAAGAGUUGUGAACCAGAAUAUACAUGAUUAGUAAUUGCAUAAUGAAUUAGAAGUAGAUUACCAGAGUCAUCCCAUGAGCAAGCUUGAUUAGAGCUUGAUCAUGGUGAAGUACAACCGGAGGAAGAACCGACAGGCCGGCCUCUCCUCUAAUCCUCCUUCGGUCUCCAUCUCGCUACUAUCUAGAUCUACUCUAGUUUAGAGAAGAGAGGAGAGCUCUCAUCUCUAAACCCUAGCUUUUGCUCUGUCUAUGAAUAAUGAAUAAUGAUCAAGGGGUGCCUCCUCCAGGGGCCAGGGGGUCUGGUUUUAUAGUCCCCUCAAGUGAACCUGGGUCGUCGGAUCAAACCGACAUUGAUUGAACGGUUAUUCUUGAUCCUUUAGGUCGGUGGAGCAUAAUCCGCGAGAUUGAGCGUGAUUGGCCGAAAAAGGUGGGCGGGCGCACUAAGGACUUGGGCGGGCGCCCUGUCCCUGACUCCGUUCGGUCUCCGCUUCCUUCCCGUGGCUUCUGGAGUCUUCUAGAUGUAAGAUAAUUGCGCGGCACGUUGAUAUCUCUAUGUAAUCCCGACGUGUGGGCCUUUCUUCCUUAUUUCCUGAUAACCCCCUGCAGAAAUAGACAAACACCAAAACUCGUGGAAUUCUGUCAGAUAAAACCCUAAGUCUCGAUGUUGAUUUCAUUUGGAUCCUUUUCUUUGUUUAUUUGAUAGUUAAAUUUGAUACUUAAGGACCGUCAACAGGGGAUACAUACAUUUCUUGCACUUUGAAGCUUUUUGAGGAGAAUGAGAUGCUCUAUAUUUUCUUUUUCUUUCCUCUCAGGUGGGUACCUUGUACCCCUAAUUCUACUGUCAGACACUUGUCCAUUUUUACCUCUCGUCUUACUUUUUCUUUUCUUCGAGGUUUCGGGCACUUGCCCCUUUUUAUUUCCUCAUAUAUUUUUUUUUCUUCUUUUUUUUAGAGCACUCAUCUCCUAAAAUAAUAUAGCAAGUGGUAGUAACCAAAAGAACUGGAGCAUUUAUUUCAUUGGGAAUAACAAGGAUAGAAAAAUGUUUUUGGCUAUUCUCUCCCGGAUUAGGAGUAGAAUAAUUUUGGGUGAAUCUGGAGAUGGAAAUGAGUGGAUGUAUGUGGAUGCGUACUUCUGGAAUAGAAGCAACAUAUACGAGUGACCAUGCAAGUGAAUCUUGAUUUUAACCACAUGACAAGCUCCUAAGGGUCUACACAGCUUGACCACACUCAAUGCUCAUAAGCAGUAAAAAGUAAAUAUAUGGUUCAUAGUCUAAUAAUCAUGUAUAUGUGGCUGUGGUAGGAUUUUAAACUCUCAUCAUACAAGAAAUCAUCGUUUGUUAUUUUAAAGAUUUUCAAAGAUAAAAUUCUCCAGAAUUCUAGCAUCUCCAGAAAUAGAUAAACAGCAGCUCAACCUUCCCAUAUCAUAUCCGUUAACGACUUAGACUUUAGAUCAAGUACUCUUCCCACAAGUUCAGGUUUAGAGCAAAUCUUAACUCAUAACAGUUAUGCCUAAACUUGAGAGAGAUUUCAAUUUUAAGAACUAGUCAUGGCAGAGCAACUAUUCAUCAUUUCCAUGUGAGAGCUUAUCAUGAAGGUUCAUAGCAAACUUUAUUUAUUUAGCAAACUAAGCAAAGAUAUAUAUAAAAGCACAAAAUCUUUAUUUGGGUUUUUAUGAUUAUGCAUCUUUUUAUUAUUUGAGUAAAGUAUAAAUGCGAGUAGAAACACUUAGCUCGAUAAAUGGGGGUGCUCUCCCCCAAGCUGGAUUUUGACGUAAUUUCUUCUGAUGUAGCUAGCAGGUGACGGAGGUAUAUUUGAAUGUCGGCAGCACCCUGACAGCGAUUAGGAUGUCCUCCGUCUGCUAGUCUUCUUUGAUCCUUGAAUUCUAUGGAGCUCAAAUAGACAACAAAGCUUUGUGGAACUGGUUAAGUGUUAGCAUAAAUAUCUAGCCUUUAUCAUGUUGAGCCUCCUCAAUAAAUGUUAUUUAUUUAGCAGGAUCAUGCACUUAUUAUUUUUAUAUUUUUAUUAUAAGAUGAAAACAUAUUUAUUUUAUGCCACCACAGUGAAUGUACCUAUCGGUUUUAUGCCAUGAGCAUACUCACAUGGGGCUUACUAUUUUUAACAUUUUUAUUUUCUUUUCGAGAUGAUAUGAAUCCUGAUUAACUAAGCAAACUAUAAUUGAAUAAUUGAAAGGAAAAGGAUAACUACCAAGUUUACCUCUUGGCAAGGCGUUCGAUGUUUUUAAGUCAUCCGAACGGGACUCUUUGUUUUCUCAGUUGUCCUGGGAUUCGCUGGAUGGCGUAGUCGGUGAUUCCGGUGGCGCCUCCUCUUCGUGUAUAACUAUCUUCUCCCUCCACACGUGACUCGGUGCUACGGUCUCCUCAGAAUAGUUCUGUUCAAGUUGUAUGUCUUCAGAGCUUACCAUUUCUCCUUCAUAGUCUGCCCAUCCGUCCGUGAUGAUUUGCCUCAUGUGAUUUCGGUUGCGUCGCCUUCUUCUUGUCCUGACUUGCUUAGAAUCUUCAACUAUAUAGUUAGAAUCAUUAAAGUAGUUGUGUACCUUCUCAGAGGGGAAGUGCAUGUGGACUUCUCCGGUUCCAAUGUAGAUGAUGGCUUUGAUAGUGUUGAGGAACGGUCUUCCAAGGACGGUAGGUGGAUCAUACUCGUCUUUUCCCAUGUCAAUGACCUGAAAAUCGUCUGGAGCUGAAUGUAUCUUGGUUGUAGGAGCAUGGUUCUAUGCAGGAGCUGAUAAGUGACUGCGGCCAUUAUGUUGUCGUCAGAUCCGGUGUCGUAGAGUGUCUUCUGAAAAGAGUAUCCAUUGAUUGUGCACUCAAUGCUUGGAACACCAGGGUUGUCCUUCUUGAUAAGGAAAGGCGACUUGAGUCGACGAUCUUUGACCUCUUUGAACUGCAGUGACCAUCUUAGCUGACUCGGUCCACAUUUGCUUGUUCCUGUUCCUCCUGUUGGUCUUCUUGCUUCGUGUCGGGAUUGCUCUGAAGUUUGUGUAGUCUUGUUCUUGAAGGAAAGUCUCCUUCUUCCCCUUGAUGUAGAAACUGAUCUUGGCAGCAUUAACAUAGAUGACAGCUCUGGUGUUUAGGAAUGGCCUCCCUAAGAUGAUGGAUGCCCUCUCCUCAGUACCAGUUUCUAUCACCACGAAGUCUGCUAGAGCGUACAAGGUACCAACUCGGACGCAGAGGUUCUUCAAUAUUUCCUUUAGGAAACUGAGUGUCCGAUCUGCAACCCUGGGCAUAAUGUUGACGCUGGAGCCAAAGUCGCAGAGUGCUUCUAGGAAGUCCACCAUGCCGAUGGAGAUCGGGAUGACGGGGCGUCCUGGAUCACCUCUCUGAGUAAUUAGGCCUCUGUUGAUUCCAACCUUAAUUUUGUUGAGGACGGUUGUAGUAAUAGUUGUUAUUGUUGUUGAUGUAGUUCAUGUCCUCAAGCAUCUCAGGGCAGUGAUUGCCUGAGUGUCCAAUAUCUCCAGUGUGUUUGUGCUCGUAGAUCCUGGUUCUUCACUUGGUGGAGUCUGGGAGUUGUAAAACUCCUUCAUAUUAUGCUCAAAGUGUUUCUGCUCAUAGAGACAAGGCAGAGAUCAAGUGCAUGGGCCCUGUUGGUGGAAAAUACCAAUAGAACCAAAAGUGUAUUUGUUCUUCUCUAACCUUAAGCAUAGUGAGCAGGACAAAGUUGAUGGAUCAUGAGUGUAGCAUUUGUCAGAUCAGAUGGCUCAACCUAAUGGAAAGAUAAUCAAUCUAUAUUUAUGUUUUGUUUAUAUCUUCCAAAGAUUGAAUGUGCAACAUAUUAGCUUAUAUGAUUAGGAGUGUGGGAUCACGAAGGUAGUACUAAGAACAAAGAUUAAAGAGCUAAACAUGUUGAAUUAAUUAGGUUGGUUAAUUUAGAGUUAUAAAUCAUACAUGUUUGUCUCUUUAUUUAUGUGAAUGCCAGAACCAGGGAGAAGCUUAUAAAAGCGAUAGUCACGUACCUUAAGAUGUUACCUUACUUGAAGAGUGAUGGUAUAGUAUCACCUUGUGGAAGCUUUCCUUUCUUAGUGGUUGUGCAUCGUGUUUGUGGCACCCUCCAUGGAUCAUCUCUUUAUGAUGAAUGAGCUAUGUCUUCCUCGUGCAAGUUGUUAAAUUUCAUGUGUCUCCUUUAUCUCCAAUGAGCUUGUAGCUCAGGACUUCCCAGGUUAAUAUUGAAAGUUUUCCUGCAGGGGUUAGUCCGACAAAAUAUACCAAUGCCUACUCAAGCAGUUUUUAGUUCAAUAACCAAACUAGACUCCAUGUCUAAUCAGAUUAAGGAAGGCUAUUUAACCUAAGCACCAUGCUUAAUUUAAAUGCCGAUGGAAGUAUGUCGAGUACUUCCAAACCAACACUUACUAGGAUAAACAAAGGUAGCAUGAUGGCAUUUAUAGAGAUCUACUCAAGUGGAGAUGAAAAAUAAGUUUAGUGUUUAGAAAAAUUGAGCAUGCCUCAAAAGUAGGGACAACCAACAUAGCAAUAUGGCAAAGGAUGUUUUUAUGUAAAGUACUCCCCCAAGCUUGAAUUUUGCAAAAUUCAAGACUGGAUGAAUUUAAUUCAAUGUUGCAUGAUGAUUGGUUGGUCAUACCUUGCGCUUGUUAUUCCUCGGAUCUUCUUGCUCCAAUCUUGGAAAGGUUAGUGGCAAGAAUACCCGAAGGAAUAUUUCUACAAUUAUCUUUAUAUGCUCAAUACACAAGGCAAUGUUGUAAAUAAUUAGAAGUUCAUGAUCAGUGCUUGUUUUAGGACACUAAGCUUUGGGAAACCAUCAAUUUAUGUCAGCGACGUGGUUUCCCCUCCAACGCCAACCUAUAUCAAAAUCCAACUCAACGAGAUCUGCAAUAUUUAUUAUAUACAUAUGCAUCGACAACCGCUCUUUUAAAGUUGUUAUAAAUAGAAAGGAAGAGAGGGUUGGAGAUCUCAAAUGUGGUGAUAGCACAUGGAUUUUUAAUGCCCUCUAGCCAUUGAUGUUGCUCUUCUCGAUCCUCCUUGUGGUCUUGGUGACUCUUAUGAAUGGGAUGUCUAGAGAAAUUCAUAGGCUUAUCGGGAGGUUCAAAAGAAAGAGCAUAGUAGAAAUUAUUAGACUCAAGGAUGGGAUGGAUAGCCGAAUCAUGGGAUUGAAAUGUUUGGAAAUUGGCUAUUGAAACUUCCUUUCCUUGUCUGGGAGAUGAUUCCUUCUCUAUCUCUAAGAUUUUUCUAUGAAGACUAGUACAAGAAGGAUGUCCACGAAUGAAGACAUACCUUCCUUUACUGAUAGAUAAAGAAAGAAAGACUCUACCAAAGGGUAUAUGAUUAAGACUAAUGUAAAAAUAUAGAGAAAAAACAUGGUCUUGUUGGGCUAGGUUUAAACUAGAAUUUAUAGAAAAAUUAAAAGAUUCCCUAGGUGUAGCUAAAAGUGCAUUAUCUUCUUGAUUAAAAGAUAGGACCUCAGCUAUAAAAAAGGGUUGGUUUUGACCUAUUGCAAUCAACUCCGGACACAAAUCAUAAUUAGGGGCAGGACUUGUUAACUCCCAUGGUCUAUGGCUGGUCUCCGAAUGUGCAAAGAAUUUAAUAAUAGGUAUGGAAUUUAAGUUAUCCAUAAAGAUAAAAGUAAAAAGAUAAAAGAAUAAAAGUAUAAAAGUAUAAUACAAGAUAAUAGCAAGACUCAAAGUUAUCUUAGCAAACCGUCUUUCUCUCCGGCAACGGCGCCAGAAAUGCUUGUUGAUAUUUGGUAACGCAAUAAGGAAAUGAUCCGCAAGCGCACGGAUAUCGUUGAGCAUUUCACCCGAGAGGUUAUCCAGAGUAUCGUAUUUAUAUUUUUACCACUGGGAGAAAGGGUGCAUCUGACUAACCAAAUCUAUUGAUACUAUCCCUUUAGGCUACAAAGAAUGUUUCUCGAUGUGAGUGAUGUAUAGAGAAGACUGCAACCGUAGUCUCGUUCUAACCUUGGUAAGGAUCAUCUAAUGUUCUAUUGGGGAAGCUUACGGAAUCUAGACACCACAAAGGAUGUUCGACCCGCACCUAUAAACCCUACCCGUCCUGCUAACAAGAUAUGGGAUACAAAGGUAACACGGAAAUGUCACGUUCCUCGCUACUACCACGGUCCAGCUAGUCAGGGGAUAUCUAUGAGUACCCUAGACUAAACACCACGUUUACGCUAGCAAUGAUUACUCUAAUACUCAACCGGAAGAGGACUAAAGUAAACUCAUAAACCAAAGAACAAUAAAACAAGAACUUACUAGAAUUAGAAGUCGAAUUACUGAAGAGUCCUAGGAGCAAGCCUCAGGUUAGAAGACUUGAUCCUGCAGGUACAACUCGGAGUAGACACCGACAGGCCGGCCUUCCUCCGAUCUACACCUCCACUCUAUCUCUCUCAAUCUAGUAGAAACUAGAAGAUCUAUUUCUACUCACAUUGGUUGCUAAGCCUAAAAAGAAAUAUUAUUUAGAGAAGAGGUUUUCCUUCGAGGGCACCCCUCAACUCUAUGAUAACUUCUUGUCUUCUCCAGUGGCCAAGGGGGUCUCCAUAUAUAGUCCUCCUCCUCCAUGCAUUUUUGGGUCGGUAGGCUGUUGACACUUGCUAACACCACUUGAAUACUAGGUUGUCAUCCCCAGCAUGGCACUAGAGUGUACUAUGGUAUUUAUACGCACACAGAUAAUCCGCAAGCGCACGGAUACCGUUGAAGCUUUUACCCGGUUAAAGGUUUUAUCGUAUCCACAGGGAAACGGGAGAACUGAUCUACGCUCUAACUUAACUAAGAUAAGUAAAUAGGUGUGAAUAGGAAAGAUGGUAGAAUCGAAUAAGAACAAUAUUAAAGGUAAGAUAACAGUGAGUGAUAAUAUGGGAAUAGAGAGUAGAGCAAUUCUAGUAUAUGGGCGAUGGUAGC
This 7781-nucleotide long non-coding RNA is filed under the name Sorghum bicolor (sorghum). RNAcentral's name for it is "long non-coding RNA (SBIC_LNC000877)". The record is from RNAcentral. Lineage: Eukaryota; Viridiplantae; Streptophyta; Magnoliopsida; Poales; Poaceae.